This 503-nucleotide ribosomal RNA is filed under the name uncultured bacterium. Its description in RNAcentral is "bacterial SSU rRNA". It matches the Rfam family "Bacterial small subunit ribosomal RNA", at positions 8 to 507 of the family's 1533-position model. The record is from RNAcentral.
AGAGUUUGAUCAUGGCUCAGAUUGAACGCUGGCGGCAUGCCUUACACAUGCAAGUCGAACGGCAGCGGGGACUUCGGUCCGCCGGCGAGUGGCGAACGGGUGAGUAAUGUAUCGGAACGUACCUUUCAGUGGGGGAUAACGUAGCGAAAGUUACGCUAAUACCGCAUAUUCUGUGCGCAGGAAAGCAGGGGAUCGCAAGACCUUGCGCUGAUUGAGCGGCCGAUAUCAGAUUAGCUAGUUGGUGGGUAAAGGCCUACCAAGGCGACGAUCUGUAGCGGGUCUGAGAGGAUGAUCCGCCACACUGGAACUGAGACACGGUCCAGACUCCUACGGGAGGCAGCAGUGGGGAAUUUUGGACAAUGGGCGCAAGCCUGAUCCAGCCAUGCCGCGUGAGUGAAGAAGGCCUUCGGGUUGUAAAGCUCUUUCGGUGGGGAAGAAAUUGCUUCGGUUAAUACCUGGAGUAGAUGACGGUACCCGCAUAAGAAGCACCGGCUAACUACGUG